Molecule: ribosomal RNA, 853 nt
Filed under: Penicillium sp. HX-2006e
Lineage: Eukaryota; Fungi; Ascomycota; Eurotiomycetes; Eurotiales; Aspergillaceae
Description: SSU rRNA
Rfam family: Eukaryotic small subunit ribosomal RNA
Source: RNAcentral
CCUUGGUGAUCAUAAUAACUUAACGAAUSGCAUGGCCUUGCGCCGGCGAUGGUUCAUUCAAAUUUCUGCCCUAUCAACUUUCGAUGGUAGGAUAGUGGCCUACCAUGGUGGCAACGGGUAACGGGGAAUUAGGGUUCGAUUCCGGAGAGGGAGCCUGAGAAACGGCUACCACAUCCAAGGAAGGCAGCAGGCGCGCAAAUUACCCAAUCCCGAUACGGGGAGGUAGUGACAAUAAAUACUGAUACGGGGCUCUUUUGGGUCUCGUAAUUGGAAUGAGAACAAUUUAAAUCCCUUAACGAGGAACAAUUGGAGGGCAAGUCUGGUGCCAGCAGCCGCGGUAAUUCCAGCUCCAAUAGCGUAUAUUAAAGUUGUUGCAGUUAAAAAGCUCGUAGUUGAACCUUGGGUCUGGCUGGCCGGUCCGCCUCACCGCGAGUACUGGUCCGGCUGGACCUUUCCUUCUGGGGAACCCCAUGGCCUUCACUGGCUGUGGGGGGAACCAGGACUUUUACUGUGAAAAAAUUAGAGUGGUCAAAGCAGGCCGUUGCUCGAAUACAUUAGCAUGGAAUAAUAGAAUAGGACGUGCGGUUCUAUUUUGUUGGUUUCUAGGACCGCCGUAAUGAUUAAUAGGGAUAGUCGGGGGCGUCARUAUUCACCUGUCAGAGGUGGRAUUCUUGGAUGUGCUGAAGACUAACUACUGCGAAAGCAUUCGCCMAACGAUGUUUUCAUUAAUCAAGGAACGAAAGUUAGGGGAUCGAARACGAUCACAUACCGUCGUAGUCUUAACCAUAAACUAUGCCSACUAUGGAUCGGACGGGAUUCUAUGAUGACCCGUUUCGGCACCUUACUAGAAAUC